Molecule: long non-coding RNA, 3767 nt
Organism: Meriones unguiculatus (Mongolian gerbil)
Lineage: Eukaryota; Metazoa; Chordata; Mammalia; Rodentia; Muridae
Exons: 2
Source: RefSeq, a predicted model, not a curated record
AGGGCUGAGAGGAGGAAACAGUGGAGGCACAGAGGAGAGGACAUGCCUUAUGGGAACAGCUGCGGUUCCUACAAGGGGAAUGGCUGAAGUUAUUUAAAGCCAGGGCGACGGCCACCUGGGGGGCUGUUGGGAUCUUUGGUCAGGGUCGCUUUCUGUCUGUGGAUGCCAAGCGCAGCUGCUGCCUCCCUGUGCACCGCUGUCCUGUGUGGCUUCCACUGUGGUUACGCUGCACGGCCACUCUCAGAGCUGGCCCGGGCUCGUAUUUGGGCUGCUGUGUGGUCCCUUCUCUCCCACAGCCGCCUUUGCAUGGACAGUGUCCCUGAAGGCCAUCUCCCUGACUCCAGGCAGGCCAGGUUCUUCCUGAGUGUGUGUGAGUGUGUGAGGCGCACAGCUCAGGUCUUCGGAGGUGGGCUCCUGUGCAGUCACAGCCAGAGGACUCUUCACAGAAGAGCCUGGUUGUCCCCGCUGCGGAGACAAAGCUGUUGACACCAGCUAGGGAGGCUGCUUAGACUCUGGCUCCCGGAGCGAACGGACGGAGAUAAACGUCAGCUUUCUUCAACUGUGGGCUGCAGCUCCAUAUGUGACUGAAUGUGGAGGGCACAACAAACCGGACAGCAGUUAGAGGUUUCCAAGCUCAGAGCAGUCAAGAAGUAACUCAAAAUGAAAGCCACAGCAGAUCCAAGGUCUCUCUGGCCGUGCUCCCCUGCGCACCGGAACACGGCUUCACUGCGCCCCCGGAUGUGCUUGCUGCCACCACACACACCCAGCAGUGCGGCCGGAAUCCCCCAGUGCGCGGCUUACUGUGCAUGACUGGUGUUUGCAUUGUGUACAACGCUAUCUGCUCUCAUAGAAACGCAGCAGCUUAACUAUGGAAAACGAAGACUUAGCAUUGUCCUCCCUCGCUGGGUCUCAAACGAAUGUCUGUGUGCCUUUUACUGCUAGGAAUGCUUGAGGCUGUUUUUCAUCCCCCAGCAUAUAACAUUUGAACAAGAGUUAAUGUAAAUGUGAUGAGCUCAUCGUCUCAUUAGUAUUAUUCAAAUUUGCUUUUAUUGCUCUUGAGUGGUAAAUUUACCAAAUUAUGCCAAAACUUAUGAUUUUUUUUUUUUAAUCGUUCAUGGUCACUAGAUGUUUGGUGUUUAUACCUUUUUUGGGAGAUGUGGUGGUUUGAACAGGAAUGGCCCUCGUAGACUCAUGUGUUUGAGUGCUUGGGGGGUGUGGCCUGGCUGGAGGAAGUGAGUCACCGUGGGGUUGGGCUUUGAGGCCUCCUACGCUUAGGCUACACCCAGUGGGCAGUCUCCUUCUGCUGCUUGUGGAACGCAAUGCAAUGCGGAACCCUCAGCUCCUUCUCCAGCACUGUGUCUGCCUGCAUGCUGCCACGUUUCCUGCAAUGGUGAUAACGGAGUAAACCUCUUUAACUAUGAGCCAGUCCCAGCUAAAUGCUUUCCUUUGUGAGAGUCGCCUUGGUCCUAGCAUGUCUUCACAGCAGUGCAAACCCUAGCUAAGACAGGAGACAAUCUGAUUUUAAUUUUAAAAUGUGUUUCUAAAGAUUUAAUUUUUUGCGUAGAUGGGUGGGUUUUUAUGUGCACCACAUGUGUGCCUGGUGCCCAUGGAAGGCAGAAGGUAUCAGAUCCCCUUGAGCUGGAGUCACAGGCAGGUGUGGACAUCCUGAUGGGAGUGCUGGGAACCAAACAUGAGUCCCCUGGAAGAGCAGUGAGUUCUUUCAGCCACUGAGCCGUCCCUCCAGCCCCUUCUUUUUGUUUUUAUGUGUAUGUCUGAGUGUAUGCCACAGGUGCCCGCUGUGGUGCUGUGGUGGUUUGAAUGAGAAUCGUCCCUCUAAGCCCAUACAUUUAAAUGCUUGAUCCCUAGUUGGCGGAACUGUUUAGGAAGGAUUAGGGGGUGUGGCCUUGCUGGAGGAGAUAUAUCACUAAGGGUUGGGCUUUGAGAUUUUAAAAGCCCACCACAGGCUAAGUCUCUCUCAUUCUCUGUGUCCGACUUGUGGAUCAAGUGUAAGCUCUGAGCUACUGCUCCCGCACCAUGUCUGCCUGCUGCUAAGCUCCCUGCCAUGAUGGUCAUGGACUCACCUCUGACACCAGAGAAAUGCUCCAGAGCUUCUCCGGGCAAUCCAACUGAGGCUUUCAGCUUUCGUUGCUUCGUGUUGGCCUUUGGACCGGACUGCCGGUAUCCUGACUACUGAGUCUGGUAAUCCCCUAAUGACCCAUUGACCCUAGUCAGCAGGAAGUAGAUAAAAGAGGACUCCAGCCCCUUUUCCUACUCAUCUACCUAAGGUUGUGGGGAGUGGUUGGAAGGAGGAAAAGGUGCUUAAGAACCCUAAAUGAAGUAGGUUUGGUGAGAAAGCUAAGCCUCCAGAUGGCAGAGAAGGUUUCAAGACAGCCUAGUACUGACUGUAAUACACAUACUUACUCUUAUGCAGACUACACAGAAAAAGAGCAAGCAAGGCAAAAAUAAAUGCAAAGUGUACAGUUUGAGGAGACAAAGAGCACCAGGGAAUGCAAUGCUGAGGCCAAGCCUUGCGCUCAAAGAGACGAGAUUUAAGGAAAAGCCUGGAGUAACGGGGCGAUGCCCUCAGUGUAAGACCUCACCUAACGAAUCCUGCAACCUGCGAAAGGAAAAGGCUAUGCUGUCAUUCAAGGAGGGGUGUUGUGGAUAGAAACAUGUUUUUUGUUUUGGUCCCACGUGUGGGAUGUGGGACUGGUUCAGAUGGUCCACAGCAGCACACCAUUUGCCUCCUGUAGGCUCUGAGAGGAGCUCUUUGCCAGUUGCAAACAGUUUGAAUCCCAAGACUCUGGAGAGAGAAUAAAUGCCAGAGCUCAGAGAGUGUGAUCCCCAAGAAAGGACAAUGCUGCUCCUGCUUCCCCCUGCUGCUCCUGGUUGCUGUUGUGAGCCAAGAAGUUGGAGAUCUUCUGAAAUGAGGAUUGGACUGGCUCCCCAAAACCCAACGACCCUAACCAGCAGAAAGCAGCUAAGAGAAGGAUUCCCCACUAACCCUUUCUCUCUCCUAACUGGUGUUCAGGGUAGGGGUUGGGGGUUGGGGGUUGGAAGGGAUUGGGGUAGAGUAAGGAGAAAAAGAUAAAAAGAAAUGUAAAUAAAAGAGUUUUUAAAAAGUACACAGGAGAACCAUCAGCUGUGUGGUUCUGGCUUUGUCAAGAAGGAUACAGGAGUAAAGGGACUGUGGGAUCUUCCUCUGAGGGUAAGGAAUGCUGCUGGGGCCAGGGGUGUGGCAGCAGAGUCGCUGCAUAGAGGUUUGGACAGGCCAUAGAGUGAAGGUGUGAAGGUGAAGCCUGGAUUGCCGUGGAGCUCUCAAAAGGAUGGAGAUGCCAGAGCCAUGGGACACCUGCCAAGGAGAGCUGCAGACAGGGAGUGGAAGCAGCCCAAGCUGAGACACGUGUUUCAGUCAACAAAGCCGGAAGUACAGCUAUCUAAGUCCUUUGACAUCAGACAGAGAGAUACCAUGGAUUUGGAGUUUGCCCUGUUGAGGUUUGGUCCAGUAUUUCCUGCGUCUCCUGUCUUCCCUUUGGAAUGGCAGUGUAUAUUUUGUGCCAUUGUACACUGGAAAUAUGUAAUUUGCCUUUUGGUUUUUGUCAGGUGUUACAGUUAAAGAGUCUCAGAAGGGACUUUGGACUUUUAAAGUACUGAUGCUGUAAAAAAAAACUAGGGUGAUUUUUGAAGUUGAACUGAAUGCAUUUGCAUUAUGAUGUGGUUACAGGCCUACGGAGGCCAGAAAGUGGAAUAUGGUGGUUUGAACGAGA